Molecule: ribosomal RNA, 433 nt
Filed under: uncultured bacterium
Lineage: Bacteria
Description: bacterial SSU rRNA
Rfam family: Bacterial small subunit ribosomal RNA
Source: RNAcentral
GAUGAACGCUGGCGGCGUGCCUAAUACAUGCAAGUCGAACGCAUUGUGGUUGAAAUGAUAUGAAGAACUUGUUCAGAUUUGAUUUUCAACAUUGCAAUGAGUGGCGAACGGGUGAGUAACACGUGGGAAACCUACCUCUUAGCAGGGGAUAACAUUUGGAAACAAAUGCUAAUACCGUAUAAUAAUUAAAACCGCAUGGUUUUAGUUUAAAAGAUGGUCUUGCUAUCACUAAGAGAUGGUCCCGCGGUGUAUUAGUUAGUUGGUGAGGUAAUGGCUCACCAAGACAAUGAUACAUAGCCGAGUUGAGAGACUGACCGGCCACAAUGGGACUGAGACACGGCCCAUACUCCUACGGGAGGCAGCAGUAGGGAAUCUUCCACAAUGGACGAAAGUCUGAUGGAGCAACGCCGCGUAGCGUGAUGAAGGGUUUCGG